GUCCACGCCGUAAACUAUGGGUGCUAGCCGUCGGAUAGCUUGCUAUUCGGUGGCGCAGCUAACGCAUUAAGCACCCCGCCUGGGGAGUACGGCCGCAAGGUUAAAACUCAAAGGAAUUGACGGGGGCCCCGCACAAGCGGUGGAGCAUGUGGUUUAAUUCGACGCAACGCGAAGAACCUUACCAGCUCUUGACAUUUCCUGACUGGUUCCAGAGAUGGGAUCGUCCCAGCAAUGGGCAGGAGGACAGGUGCUGCAUGGCUGUCGU
RNAcentral lists this ribosomal RNA (265 nucleotides) under uncultured bacterium. RNAcentral's name for it is "partial 16S ribosomal RNA". It matches the Rfam family "Bacterial small subunit ribosomal RNA", at positions 793 to 1055 of the family's 1533-position model. The record is from RNAcentral.